AUGGGCCGCGGGAGGACGGAGAUGAAGAGGAUCCACAACGACGUGUCGCGCCGGGCCACCUUCGGCAAGCGCCGCCGCGGCCUGCUGAAGAAGGCGCGUGAGCUCGCCGUGCUCUGCGGCGUCGAUCUCGGCCUCCUCGUCUUCGACGAUGACGGCGCCGGCAAGCUGUUCGACUACUGCAGCCCCAACACAAGCUGGAGCGAGCUAAUCGAGCGCUACGAGAGCAUCACCAACCACAAGUUCCAGUUCCAGGGGAUAAAUCAUGUUGAUGAUCAGCAGCAACCGUUGGCGGAUAUCAUCGCAGGGCUGAGGCGUGAGCAUGACCGUCUGGAGGUCAGCGUGAGGAGGCAGACCGGAGAAGACCUGCCAUCCGCCGCGACGGCGGCGGAACUCGAUGAUCUGGAGCAGCGACUGGAGCGCGUGCUGGGUGAAGUUCGUGAAAUGAAGGACAAGCCGCUGGAGCAACAGUUGGACGAAUCAUACCACAAGGUGCACACCUUGGAGGACCAGAACAGCUUCCUUCGCCGCCUGAUGGGCGAGGAGGGGCAGCAGCGUGCUGCUGUGGAGGCGUCAGCUGUGGCGCCGAAGCUACCGGCGACGGCGUUCGGGGGAUCCUUCCCGGAGGUGGAGGAGGAGGAAUUGACAGCGCUACGGCUGUGGCCGCGGCAGCUCCCCGACGUGUAA
This 684-nucleotide ribosomal RNA is filed under the name Triticum aestivum (bread wheat). Its description in RNAcentral is "partial small subunit ribosomal RNA". Lineage: Eukaryota; Viridiplantae; Streptophyta; Magnoliopsida; Poales; Poaceae. The record is from RNAcentral.